This 333-nucleotide unclassified non-coding RNA is filed under the name uncultured Pseudoalteromonas sp. RNAcentral describes it as "partial 16S-23S ribosomal RNA intergenic spacer". The record is from RNAcentral. Lineage: Bacteria; Pseudomonadati; Pseudomonadota; Gammaproteobacteria; Alteromonadales; Pseudoalteromonadaceae.
CCUCCUUAUACGAUUUAGAACUUAUUUGUUCGUAGUGUCCACACAGACGAUUGUUAGUUAGUUUUACCCUCUGGGUUAACUAAUUAAUAUGCUCUUUAAAAAUUUGGAAAAGCUGAUAAUAAAAUUCGUAUGAAUAACAUUGUUAUUUGUACAGAGUUUUCAAAAGUAAAAAAGAAUGAUAGCAGUAUCAUUCAGUGCCAAUUUAAUCAUUUAUGAUUAAUUGGUAUCUACUUUAGUAUUCAAUAUUAACUUCUGGCGAAGUUAAACUGUCACUAACAAAGACCCGUUUGGGUUGUAUGGUUANGUGAUUAGGCGUACACCGGUGGGAUGCCU